This 131-nucleotide ribosomal RNA is filed under the name Russula sp. Its description in RNAcentral is "partial large subunit ribosomal RNA". It matches the Rfam family "Eukaryotic large subunit ribosomal RNA", at positions 99 to 226 of the family's 3401-position model. Lineage: Eukaryota; Fungi; Basidiomycota; Agaricomycetes; Russulales; Russulaceae. The record is from RNAcentral.
CGGGAAAAGCUCAAAUUUAAAAUCUGGUGGCCCUUCCGCCAUCCGAGUUGUAAUUUAGAGAAGCGUCUUCCGCGCUGGACCGUGCAUAAGUCUCCUGGAACGGAGCGUCAUAGAGGGUGAGAGCCCCGUCU